RNAcentral lists this long non-coding RNA (200 nucleotides) under Physcomitrium patens. RNAcentral describes it as "long non-coding RNA (PPAT_LNC014075)". The record is from RNAcentral. Lineage: Eukaryota; Viridiplantae; Streptophyta; Bryopsida; Funariales; Funariaceae.
UAUAAGUAUAUUCUUGUCAAUUUAUCAAAUAUAAGAACUUGAUGAAAGUAAAAAAAUAAGUGAGAUUCUCUCAAAGAAAUAAAAAUAAAAAAGUAUGUAUAUUAAAAAAAAAAAUGGCUAUUGCCAAAAGAUAAGGAAAUUAGAGACUCUUGAAAUUAGACUAGAAAAAAAAAAUGAAUUGUUUAGAAUGAAGAAGGCUU